GUAGGUGGCAAGCGUUGUCCGGAAUUAUUGGGCAUAAAGCGCGCGCAGGCGGUUCUUUAAGACUGAUGUGAAAGCCCACGGGCUCAACCGUGGAGGGUCAUUGGAAACUGGAGAACUUGAGUACAGAAGAGGAAAGCGGAAUUCCACGUGUAGCGGUGAAAUGCGUAGGGAUGUGGAGGAACACCAGUGGCGAAGGCGGCUUUCUGGUCUGUAACUGACGCUGAGGCGCGAAAGCGUGGGGAGCAAACAGGAUUAGAUACCCUGGUAGUCCACGCCGUAAACGAUGAGUGCUAAGUGUUAGGGGGUUUCCGCCCCUUAGUGCUGCAGCUAACGCAUUAAGCACUCCGCCUGGGGAGUACGGCCGCAAAGGCUG
Molecule: ribosomal RNA, 373 nt
Filed under: uncultured organism
Description: partial 16S ribosomal RNA
Rfam family: Bacterial small subunit ribosomal RNA
Source: RNAcentral